CAGACACACAAACUUUCUUUUACUUACGCAGCAGCGGCGCCGACGAGAAAAA
RNAcentral lists this non-coding RNA (52 nucleotides) under uncultured Pelagophyceae. The record is from RNAcentral. Lineage: Eukaryota; Pelagophyceae.